Non-coding RNA from Electrophorus electricus (electric eel), 225 nucleotides. NCBI's taxonomy places the organism in Eukaryota, Metazoa, Chordata, Actinopteri, Gymnotiformes, Gymnotidae. The record is from RefSeq and is a predicted model, not a curated record.
CUACUCAAAAUCAGCCUGUCGGAUGACCUGGAAAUCAGCCACCUCUAUAUUAGAAAAAAACAAAGAAGACAUUCAGUUUAGUUCCACUACCCAUACAGCUGUGAAGGUUAACCAUCGUCUAGUACAUUAUGACUCAUCCAUUUCUGAUCCCAGGUUCACAGAUAGCGUUAAACUUCAUAUUUCCUAAUGUGACGGACGAGGGUUAAGCAGGAUGCGGGGACGAGG